GAGUUUGAUUCUGGCUCAGGAUGAACGCUGGCGGCGUGCUUAACACAUGCAAGUCGAACGAAGCGCGGGAAGCGGAAGUUUUCGGACGGAAGCAUCCCGUGACUGAGUGGCGGACGGGUGAGUAACGUGUGGGUAACCUGCCUCAUAUAGGGGGAUAACAGUGGGAAACCGCUGCUAAUACCGCAUAAGCCCCCGGUAUCGCAUGAUACAGAGGGAAAAGAUUUAUCGAUAUGAGAUGGACCCGCAUCUGAUUAGAUAGUUGGUGAGGUAACGGCUCACCAAGUCAACGAUCAGUAGCCGACUUGAGAGAGUGAUCGGCCACAUUGGGACUGAGACACGGCCCAAACUCCUACGGGAGGCAGCAGUGGGGAAUAUUGCACAAUGGGGGGAACCCUGAUGCAGCGACGCCGCGUGAGUGAAGAAGUACUUCGGUAUGUAAAGCUCUAUCAGCAGGGAAGAAAAUGACGUACCUGACUAAGAGCCCCG
This 486-nucleotide ribosomal RNA is filed under the name Lachnospiraceae bacterium canine oral taxon 036. RNAcentral describes it as "bacterial SSU rRNA". It matches the Rfam family "Bacterial small subunit ribosomal RNA", at positions 9 to 495 of the family's 1533-position model. The record is from RNAcentral. Lineage: Bacteria; Bacillati; Bacillota; Clostridia; Lachnospirales; Lachnospiraceae.